This 468-nucleotide ribosomal RNA is filed under the name uncultured bacterium. RNAcentral describes it as "partial 16S ribosomal RNA". It matches the Rfam family "Bacterial small subunit ribosomal RNA", at positions 28 to 507 of the family's 1533-position model. The record is from RNAcentral.
GACGAACGCUGGCGGCGUGCUUAACACAUGCAAGUCGAACGGAAAGGCCCUGCUUUUGUGGGGUGCUCGAGUGGCGAACGGGUGAGUAACACGUGAGUAACCUGCCCUUGACUUUGGGAUAACUUCAGGAAACUGGGGCUAAUACCGGAUAGGAGCUCCUGCUGCAUGAUGGGGGUUGGAAAGUUUCGGCGGUUGGGGAUGGACUCGCGGCUUAUCAGCUUGUUGGUGGGGUAGUGGCUUACCAAGGCUUUGACGGGUAGCCGGCCGUGGAGGGUGACCGGCCACAUUGGGACUGAGGUACGGCCCAGACUCCUACGGGAGGCAGCAGUGGGGAAUAUUGCCCAAUGGGCGGGAGCCUGAUGAGGCAACGCCGCGGGCGGGAUGACGGCCUUUGGGUUGUAAACCGCUUUCGCCUGUGACGAAGCGUGAGUGACGGUAAUGGGUAAAGAAGCACCGGCUAACUACGUG